CUCCCAUCUGUCAUGGCAGCUGCAGCAAGCCUCACCCAAGGAGAGUCUGGCUGGAGGCCAAACAACACAAAACCAGCACACUUAACAAAAAUAUAACCAAUGACCCUUGCAGAGUCCACUUAACUCCCCUCCACCAGAGCAGGUGCUGGUAUCCACAGCUGAGAGACCUGAAGAUGGAUCACAUCACAGGACUCCUUGCAGACAUUCUCCAGUACCAGCCCAGAGCCUGACCUGUCCACGCUGAGUUUAUAGCAACUGUCAAUUACGGUUCAGAUUUUCCUACCCCAGCGUGACUUUCCAAAGAGGCUUCUGCUCAUGGAUUUCUGCUCCAGGAAGAUGCAACAGGAAGGUCCUCACAAGAUGGCUGAACAGAUGCAGGUGCUGUGCCUCUGGACUGCCUAGCCUCCAGAACUGAUACAUAUGCAGGAUGUGCAGCUUUGUUACACAGGAGGUGUUGGAAGCUGUGAAUGUGGAUGAAAGUACCAAUAUAGAGAGAACAGAGUGAGAAUAGAAGACAGCCCAAGAAUCUAAAGUCAUGCACUUGCAAGGGAGUCAGAGGAAGAGAGGGAAAAUGGUUCAUUGUUUCCAUCAUGUACUCUAUGGAAUACAAAGCUCUGAAACCUGUUGGCUACUGGAAGUGUACAAGAAAAAGACUCUCAAGCUAGAGGUGGGGUAGAGCUGGAGCCAGCCAUGUCAAGAUCUUUCGAGGACAUGAACAUUUUUUAUGCUUAUUAAAAGAUGAUGUGGUUUUAAAAUAAAUCUAAGGCUGGGCGCAGUGGCUCAUGCCUGGAAUCCCAGCAGUUUGGGAGGCUGAGGCGGGUGGAUUGCUUGAGCUCAGUAAUUCAAGACCAGCCUGGGCAACAUGGCAAGAAACUCUCUCUACUAAAAACAGAAAAAU
This 898-nucleotide long non-coding RNA is filed under the name Homo sapiens (human). RNAcentral describes it as "HSALNT0325137". Lineage: Eukaryota; Metazoa; Chordata; Mammalia; Primates; Hominidae. The record is from RNAcentral.